RNAcentral lists this ribosomal RNA (914 nucleotides) under Xanthopsoroma cf. contextum NK-78. RNAcentral describes it as "eukaryotic LSU rRNA". It matches the Rfam family "Eukaryotic large subunit ribosomal RNA", at positions 1 to 929 of the family's 3401-position model. The record is from RNAcentral. Lineage: Eukaryota; Fungi; Ascomycota; Lecanoromycetes; Peltigerales; Pannariaceae.
GGUUGACCUCGGAUCAGGUAGGGAUACCCGCUGAACUUAAGCAUAUCAAUAAGCGGAGGAAAAGAAACCAACCGGGAUUGCCUCAGUAACGGCGAGUGAAGCGGCAACAGCUCAAAUUUGAAAUCUGGCCCCGUGCGGGGUCCGAGUUGUAAUUUGUAGAGGGUGUUUCGGGUGCGGUACCGGCCUAAGUUCCUUGGAACAGGACGUCAUAGAGGGUGAGAAUCCCGUCUGCGCGCCGGCUGCCAACCCCGGGUGAAACCCCUUCGACGAGUCGAGUUGUUUGGGAAUGCAGCUCAAAAUGGGUGGUAAAUUUCAUCUAAAGCUAAAUACCGGCCAGAGACCGAUAGCGCACAAGUAGAGUGAUCGAAAGAUGAAAAGCACUUUGGAAAGAGAGUUAAAAAGUACGUGAAAUUGUUGAAAGGGAAGCGCUUGCGACCAGACCUGUCCCCGGGUGAUCAUCCGUGAUUCGUCGCGGUGCACUCGCCCGGACGCAGGCCAGCAUCGGUUUGGGCGGCGGGACAAAGUGCCCGGGAAUGUAUCUCCCUUGGGGAGCCUUAUAGCCCGGGUUGCCAUGCCGCCCGCCCGGACCGAGGACCGCGCUUCGGCUAGGAUGCUGGCGUAAUGGUUGUAAGCGACCCGUCUUGAAACACGGACCAAGGAGUCUACCAUCUAUGCGAGUGUUUGGGUGUCAAACCCGGGCGCGGAAUGAAAGUGAACGGAGGUGAGACCCCGUCAGGGCGCAUCAUCGACCGAUCCAGAUGUCUUCGGAUGGAUUUGAGUACGAGCAUGGCUGGUGGGACCCGAAAGAUGAUGAACUAUGCCUGAAUAGGGUGAAGCCAGAGGAAACUCUGGUGGAGGCUCGCAGCGGUUCUGACGUGCAAAUCGAUCGUCGAAUUUGGGUAUAGGGGCGAAAG